This 527-nucleotide ribosomal RNA is filed under the name Salmonella sp. Sal1213. RNAcentral's name for it is "bacterial SSU rRNA". It matches the Rfam family "Bacterial small subunit ribosomal RNA", at positions 9 to 525 of the family's 1533-position model. The record is from RNAcentral. Lineage: Bacteria; Pseudomonadati; Pseudomonadota; Gammaproteobacteria; Enterobacterales; Enterobacteriaceae.
GGAAUUGGAUCUGGCUUAGAUUGACGCUGGCGGCAGGCCUAACACAUGCAAGUCGAACGGUAACAGGAAGCAGCUUGCUGCUUUGCUGACGAGUGGCGGACGGGUGAGUAAUGUCUGGGAAACUGCCUGAUGGAGGGGGAUAACUACUGGAAACGGUGGCUAAUACCGCAUAACGUCGCAAGACCAAAGAGGGGGACCUUCGGGCCUCUUGCCAUCAGAUGUGCCCAGAUGGGAUUAGCUUGUUGGUGAGGUAACGGCUCACCAAGGCGACGAUCCCUAGCUGGUCUGAGAGGAUGACCAGCCACACUGGAACUGAGACACGGUCCAGACUCCUACGGGAGGCAGCAGUGGGGAAUAUUGCACAAUGGGCGCAAGCCUGAUGCAGCCAUGCCGCGUGUAUGAAGAAGGCCUUCGGGUUGUAAAGUACUUUCAGCGGGGAGGAAGGUGUUGUGGUUAAUAACCGCAGCAAUUGACGUUACCCGCAGAAGAAGCACCGGCUAACUCCGUGCCAGCCGCCGCGGUAAUUA